RNAcentral lists this unclassified non-coding RNA (236 nucleotides) under plant metagenome. RNAcentral's name for it is "partial contains small subunit ribosomal RNA, internal transcribed spacer 1, and 5.8S ribosomal RNA". The record is from RNAcentral.
UUUCCGUAGGUGAACCUGCGGAAGGAUCAUUACUGAGUGAGGGCCCCUCGGGGUCCAACCUCCCACCCGUGUUUAACGAACCUUGUUGCUUCGGCGGGCCCGCCUCACGGCCGCCGGGGGGCAUCUGCCCCCGGGCCCGCGCCCGCCGAAGCCACCUGUGAACGCUGUCUGAAGUAUGCAGUCUGAGACGAUUAUUAAAUUAAUUGAAACUUUCAACAACGGAUCUCUUGGUUCCG